RNAcentral lists this ribosomal RNA (496 nucleotides) under uncultured bacterium. Its description in RNAcentral is "partial 16S ribosomal RNA". It matches the Rfam family "Bacterial small subunit ribosomal RNA", at positions 28 to 506 of the family's 1533-position model. The record is from RNAcentral.
GAUGAACGCUGGCGGCGUGCCUAAUACAUGCAAGUCGAGCGAACAGAUGAGGAGCUUGCUCCUCUGACGUUAGCGGCGGACGGGUGAGUAACACGUGGAUAACCUACCUAUAAGACUGGGAUAACUUCGGGAAACCGGAGCUAAUACCGGAUAAUAUAUUGAACCGCAUGGUUCAAUAGUGAAAGACGGUUUUGCUGUCACUUAUAGAUGGAUCCGCGCCGCAUUAGCUAGUUGGUAAGGUAACGGCUUACCAAGGCAACGAUGCGUAGCCGACCUGAGAGGGUGAUCGGCCACACUGGAACUGAGACACGGUCCAGACUCCUACGGGAGGCAGCAGUAGGGAAUCUUCCGCAAUGGGCGAAAGCCUGACGGAGCAACGCCGCGUGAGUGAUGAAGGGCUUCGGAUCGUAAAACGCUGUUAUUAGGGAAGAACAAAUGUGUAAGUAACUAUGCACGUCUUGACGGUACCUAAUCAGAAAGCCACGGCUAACUACGU